AGAGCAGGAGAGGUGGUCGCCCUAACGCACUUUGGUCCGAGUAAUCAGUGAAUGGGUUUCAGCUGAAAACGGUCACUGAUAAUUAAUCGCCCCGAGGUGUAAGAAUCGGUUAGGGAGGAAAGUCCGAGCUUUAAAGGGCAAGGCGCUCCAUAAUAUGGAGUGGGGGUGACCCCAAGGAAAGUGCCACAGAAAAAAUACCGCCCUGCGGAGGAGCAAAUCUAAAUUCCCAGGGUAAGGGUGAAAAGGUGAGGUAAGAGCUCACCAGUUGAGAUGGUGACAUCCCAAGAUUGGAAAACCCCGCCUUGAGCAAGGUCGAAUAGGUUCCGCCUAGAGAAGGGCCCCUUCGAAUCCCCGUCCGCCUAAGGUGGAUCGAGGAGGCGGAAUGGGUAGCGACCGCACGAGUCUGGUGGUAACACCAGACCUUAGAUGAAUGACCACAUAGACAGAACUCGGCUUAUAUCCUGCUCUGACA
RNAcentral lists this RNase P RNA (472 nucleotides) under Nitrospirae bacterium RBG_13_41_22. RNAcentral's name for it is "RNase P RNA component class A". It matches the Rfam family "Bacterial RNase P class A". From Rfam's summary of the family: Ribonuclease P (RNase P) is a ubiquitous endoribonuclease, found in archaea, bacteria and eukarya as well as chloroplasts and mitochondria. Its best characterised activity is the generation of mature 5'-ends of tRNAs by cleaving the 5'-leader elements of precursor-tRNAs. The record is from RNAcentral. Lineage: Bacteria; Pseudomonadati; Nitrospirota.